AUAGAGCAGUGCUGUGGUAUAGAGCAGUGCUGUGGUAUAGAGCAGUGCUAUGUGAUAGAGCAGUGCUGUGUGAUAGAGCAGUGCUGUGGUAUAGAGCAGUGCUGUGUGAUAGAGCAGUGCUGUGUGAUAGAGCAGUGCUGUGGUAUAGAGCAGUGCUGUGUGAUAGAGCAGUGCCGUGGUGUAGUGAUAGAGCAGUGCUGUGGUGUAGUGAUAGAGCAGUGCCGUGGUGUAGUGAUAGAGCAGUGCUGUGGUGUAGUGAUAGAGCAGUGCUAUGUGAUAGAGCAGUGCUAUGGUGUAGUGAUAGAGCAGUGCUAUGUGAUAGAGCAGUGCUAUGGUGUAGUGUCAGAGCAGUGCUAUGUGAUAGAGCAGUGCUAUGGUGUAGUGAUAGAGCAGUGCUGUGGUGUAGUGAUAGAGCAGUGCCGUGGUGUAGUGAUAGAGCAGUGCUGUGGUGUAGUGAUAGAGCAGUGCUAUGUGAUAGAGCAGUGCUAUGGUGUAGUGAUAGAGCAGUGCUGUUGUGUAGUGAUAGAGCAGUGCUAUGUGAUAGAGCAGUGCUAUGGUGUAGUGAUAGAGCAGUGCUGUGGUGUAGUGAUAGAGCAGUGCUGUGGUGUAGUGAUAGAGCAGUGCUAUGUGAUAGAGCAGUGCUAUGGUGUAGUGAUAGAGCAGUGCUGUUGUGUAGUGAUAGAGCAGUGCUAUGUGAUAGAGCAGUGCUAUGGUGUAGUGAUAGAGCAGUGCUGUGGUGUAGUGAUAGAGCAGUGCUGUGGUGUAGUGAUAGAGCAGUGCUAUGUGAUAGAGCAGUGCUGUGUACUAGAGCAGUGCUGUGGUAUAGAGCAUGUGCUAUGGUGUAGAGCAGUGCUGUGUGAUAGAGCAGUGCUGUGGUAUAGAGCAGUGCUGUGUGAUAGAGCAGUGCUAUGUGAUAGAGAAGUGCUGUGGUGUAGUGAUAGAGCAGUGCUAUGUGAUAGAGCAGUGCUAUGGUGUAGUGAUAGAGCAGUGCUGUGGUAUAGAGCAGUGCUGUGUGAUAGAGCAGUGCUGGGCUAUAGAGCAGUGCUGUGUGAUAGAGCAGUGCUGUGGUAUAGAGCAGUGCUAUGGUGUAGAGCAGUGCUGUGUGAUAGAGCAGUGCUGUGGUAUAGAGCAGUGCUGUGUGAUGGAGCAGUGCUGUGUGAUAGAGCAGUGCUGUGGUAUAGAGCAGUGCUGUGUGAUAGAGCAGUGCCGUGGUGUAGUGAUAGAGCAGUGCUGUGGUGUAGUGAUAGAGCAGUGCCGUGGUGUAGUGAUAGAGCAGUGCUGUGGUGUAGUGAUAGAGCAGUGCUAUGUGAUAGAGCAGUGCUAUGGUGUAGUGAUAGAGCAGUGCUGUUGUGUAGUGAUAGAGCAGUGCUAUGUGAUAGAGCAGUGCUAUGGUGUAGUGAUAGAGCAGUGCUAUGUGAUAGAGCAGUGCUAUGGUGUAGUGAUAGAGCAGUGCUGUGGUGUAGUGAUAGAGCAGUGCCGUGGUGUAGUGAUAGAGCAGUGCUGUGGUGUAGUGAUAGAGCAGUGCUAUGUGAUAGAGCAGUGCUAUGGUGUAGUGAUAGAGCAGUGCUGUUGUGUAGUGAUAGAGCAGUGCUAUGUGAUAGAGCAGUGCUGUGGUGUAGUGAUAGAGCAGUGCUGUGGUGUAGUGAUAGAGCAGUGCCGUGUGAUAGAGCAGUGCUGUGUAAUAGAGCAGUGCUGUGGUGUAGUGAUAGAGCAGUGCUGUGUAAUAGAGCAGUGCUGUGUGAUAGAGCAGUGCUGUGUGAUAGAGCAGUGCUGUAUGAUAGAGCAGUGCCGUGUGAUAGAGCAGUGCUGUGUAAUAGAGCAGUGCUGUGUGAUAGAGCAGUGCCGUGUGAUAGAGCAGUGCUGUGUAAUAGAGCAGUGCUGUGUGAUAGAGCAGUGCUGUGUAAUAGAGCAGUGCUGUGUGAUAGAGCAGUGCCGUGUGAUAGAGCAGUGCUGUGUAAUAGAGCAGUGCUGUGUGAUAG
Gasterosteus aculeatus aculeatus (three-spined stickleback) is the source of this 1979-nucleotide long non-coding RNA. NCBI's taxonomy places the organism in Eukaryota, Metazoa, Chordata, Actinopteri, Perciformes, Gasterosteidae. The record is from Ensembl.